UUCUUUGAAAUGGAUUUUUUUUAUAAUAAAAGCCAAUAAGGGAAUUUUUGAUAUGUUAAUUUGUGAGAAAUUAUACCAAAGGGUGAUGAUGUACUCUCAUGAAUAGGGAGAAAUCUUAAAUAUUCAUUUUUUAAACAUUUCUAAGCAUUCAGUUUAAAUAUGAUUUGGGAGUAAUUUUGAAUUUCCAAGAUCUAAAGGCUUUAUCAAGGGAAAAGCAAGCUAAUAACAUUUAAUAUCAAUGUGACAUAUUAUUAUUGAAGAUAUAUUUUGAUGAUAUGCAGUCAUUAUUGAAUACUUUGUGUCAUCUACAUCCUUGUUUCAAUAGCAAGUAAGUGUGCAUGAAAUUAUUUUUUGAAAUUCUUUUGAAAUUUGAUAAAGAUCAAUCAAGUAGGCCUUAGUUUUUGAGACCCAUAUGUUCUUGUGCACAUGUGCACAAGUAAAUUAUUGAAAAAGGAUAAAAAUGAAUGAAUUUUUAUUAUCAGUUGAUAAAGUUGUGCAGAAAUUACAGAUAGAUUUGCAUGAAAAUGAUUGAAAUUGAUGAUACACUCUCAUGAACAGGGAGAAAUCAUGUUCUUCAUUAUUUUAUGUUCAUCAUUUUCAUUUGUAAGCUUUCAGUUAAAAGUGAUAUAUGGCAGUGAUUUGGAAGCUUCAAGAUCCACAGGCUUUAUGAAGGGAAAAGACAUUAUUUACUCUUUAUCGCAAUGGGAGAUUUGAUGUUGGAUUGUAUAUUUUGAUGAUGUGCAGUCAUUAUGAAAUAUUAAGUGUCAUCUGCAUCAUUGUGUCACUACCAACUUUCAGUUAAAAAUGAUAUAUGGCAGUGAUUUGGAAGCUUCAAGAUCCACAGGCUUUAUCAAGGGAAAAGACAUUAUUUACUCUUUAUCGCAAUGGGAGAUUAUAUGUUGGAUUGCGUAUUUUGAUGAUGUGCAGUCAUUAUGAAAUAUUAAGUGUCAUCUGCAUCAUUGUGUCACUACCAACUUUCAGUUAAAAGUGAUAUAUGGCAGUAAUUUGGAAGCUUCAAGAUCCACAGGCUUUAUCAAGGGAAAAUACAUUAUUUACUCUUUAUCGCAAUGGGAGAUUAUAUGUUGGAUUGCGUAUUUUGAUGAUGUGCAGUCAUUAUGAAAUAUUAAGUGUCAUCUGCAUCAUUGUGUCACUACCAACUUUCAGUUUAAUGUGAUAAAUGGCAGUGAUUUGGAAGCUUCAAGAUCCACAGGCUUUAUCAAGGGAAAAGACAAUUAUUUACUCUUUAUCGCAAUGGGAGAUUUGAUGUUGGAUUGUAUAUUUUGAUGAUGUGCAGUCAUUCUGAAGUAUUAAGUGUCAUCUGCAUCAUUGUGUCAAUACCAACAUUCAGUUUAAAGUGAUAUAUGCAGUGAUUUGGAAGCUUCAAGAUCCACAGGCUUUAUCAAGGGAAAGGACAGUUAUUUACUCUUUAUCGCAAUGGGAGAUUUGAUGUUGGAUUGUAUAUUUUGAUGAUGUGCAGUCAUUCUGAAAUAUUAAGUGUCAUCUGCAUCAUUGUGUCAAUACCAAGUAAGUGUGUAUGAAAUAAUUUCAUGAAACUAUUUUGAAAUUCUAAAGGAAGAUAGAAUGAUUUAUCAAUUUAGACUUAGUUUUUUCCCACAAACUAUUCCUUGUGCACAUGAGUAUAUGUAAGGUUGUUUGAAAAUGGAAAUAAAUCAAUAUAUUUUCUAGAUCAAUUGAUUAAUUAAUGCAAAACUGAAAAAAAAUCUGUGAAAUGAAUUUUUUUAUAAUAAAAGCCAAUAAGGGAAUUUUUGAUAUGUGACAUGAAUUAGAAAUCAUAAAAUUAAGAAUUAUUAUUUAUUAUUUUUAUUUCAUUUUACGGUAGAACCUAUGUAGGAAAAGUCUUUGUCACAAGAUUUUUAAACUUCAACACUGGAUUUUAAAAGGGGAAAAGUUAAAUUAGUACUUGCUUAUCAAUUAGUUAAAAGCUCAUGAUGUGUUUCCUUUUUUUUAAAUGUAGCACAGCCUGUGAAACUUGGAAUGGUAGUUACUUACUGCGACUACCCAUUUGCAGUUAUUUUUAGGGGUACUUGUCAAGAAGAUAAUAUUAAAAAAUCACAAAAAAUACUUCUUCAAAGAUCGUUGUUUAUAUACUUUAUCAACUGAACAAUAUUAAGAAAUAUUUCUCAAGAAUUUCUUUUUUAUUCAAUUUACAU
Long non-coding RNA from Saccostrea echinata, 2171 nucleotides. RefSeq lists it as uncharacterized. The transcript has 5 exons. Lineage: Eukaryota; Metazoa; Mollusca; Bivalvia; Ostreida; Ostreidae. The record is from RefSeq and is a predicted model, not a curated record.